AUGAACGCUAGCGGCAGGCUUAAUACAUGCAAGUCGUGGGGCAGCAUGAGUAGCAAUACUUGAUGGCGACCGGCAAACGGGUGAGGAACACGUACACAACCUUCCUUCAAGCGGGGAAUAGCCAGAGAAAUUUGGAUUAAUACCCCAUAAUAUAUUUGAUAAGGCAUCUUAUUAAUAUUAAAGCUUCGGCACUUGAUGAUGGGUGUGCGGCUGAUUAGAUAGUUGGCGGGGUAACGGCCCACCAAGUCUACGAUCAGUAGCUGAUGUGAGAGCAUGAUCAGCCACACGGGCACUGAGACACGGGCCCGACUCCUACGGGAGGCAGCAGUAAGGAAUAUUGGACAAUGGACGAAAGUCUGAUCCAGCCAUGCCGCGUGAAGGAUUAAGGUCCUCUGGAUUGUAAACUUCUUUUAUAUGGGACGAAAAAAGGGCAUUCUUGUUCACUUGACGGUACCAUAUGAAUAAGCACCGGCUAACUCCGUG
This 483-nucleotide ribosomal RNA is filed under the name uncultured bacterium. Its description in RNAcentral is "bacterial SSU rRNA". It matches the Rfam family "Bacterial small subunit ribosomal RNA", at positions 29 to 507 of the family's 1533-position model. The record is from RNAcentral.